Molecule: ribosomal RNA, 639 nt
Filed under: Triticum aestivum (bread wheat)
Lineage: Eukaryota; Viridiplantae; Streptophyta; Magnoliopsida; Poales; Poaceae
Description: partial small subunit ribosomal RNA
Source: RNAcentral
AUGUUCUUUAUUUGGAAUUGCAUAGCAAUGUUCUUCUUUCUCAAAUUUGACAUGUGCCUUUUGGUCAGCCAUAAAAAGAAGACUAUAUUGUUCACUAGAGACAUGGUGCAAAUUUUUUUUAAUGUCCCAUCCGGACCAAGGGUAGUGGAGCUGUUGAAGAGGAACGAACAUUGCGAGCUGCGCGACAUAUAUCGAGAAGGCACAAGGGCUCCAAUUAAGAAAUCCAUUUCUGUAAUCAAGAAAGCAUCGGAUAAUGAUGUUGUUACUUUAGAGAGGACUUGGGUUCUUUUAUGCCUUGCUCUCGUGCUAGUUCCUGGCACCGGCAACAUGGUCUCGUUGGACUACCUUGCUAGCUUGAAGGACUUGGAUGAAUUGAAUGAGUUUGCGUGGGACGAGCAUGUGUUGGCAACUGCGUUGAGGGAGGCGAGGAAUUACCAACUAAAGAGGGAGGCUGGGGCAAGUGGCUUCUCGAUAGGCGGCUGUCUACCUAUGUUCGUGGUAUGCCAAACGCAAAUCAUUUUGUCUAUGUUUUCAUUGGUUCAUAUUUUUGCUUUACUUUAUUUUAUUUUAUUCUGCUCGCAACAAUCAUAUGUACGAUACAACCUUCUGAUUUGUUUUCUUUUUCAAAAAUAUAUGUAG